RNAcentral lists this ribosomal RNA (425 nucleotides) under uncultured bacterium. RNAcentral's name for it is "partial 16S ribosomal RNA". It matches the Rfam family "Bacterial small subunit ribosomal RNA", at positions 354 to 796 of the family's 1533-position model. The record is from RNAcentral.
GUUAGGAAUAUUGGACAAUGGGCGCAAGCCUGAUCCAGCCAUGCCGCGUGAGUGAUGAAGGCCUUCGGGUUGUAAAGCUCUUUAGUCCACGAAUAUAAUGACUGUAGUGGAAGAAUAAGCCCCGGCUAACUUCGUGCCAGCAGCCGCGGUAAUACGAAGGGGGCGAGCGUUAUUCGGAAUCACUGGGCGUAAAGCGUGCGUAGGCUGUUUUGUAAGUCAGAAGUGAAAGCCCAGGGCUUAACCCUGGAAUUGCUUUUGAAACUACAAGACUCGAAUUCGGGAGAGGAUAGCGGAAUUGUCAGUGUAGCAGUGAAAUGCGUAGAUAUUGACAGGAACACCAGUGGCGCAAGCGGCUAUCUGGACGAGUAUUGACGCUGAGGCACGAAAGCGUGGGGAUCAAACAGGAUUAGAUACCCGGGUAGUCC